Molecule: RNA transcript, 2260 nt
Organism: Amaranthus tricolor (Joseph's coat)
Lineage: Eukaryota; Viridiplantae; Streptophyta; Magnoliopsida; Caryophyllales; Amaranthaceae
Exons: 5
Source: RefSeq, a predicted model, not a curated record
UAUCUACAAGUUGUAGAAAAGAUUAGAAACAUAAUAAUGGUGAAAGUACCAACAUAGAAGCACUAUAUAUAUGUUGCAUGCUCUUAUUUGUAAUCAAAUCACGUAAUACAAAAAAAUCUUUUUUCACAAAAGCCAUCAAUUGUCCUCUUUAUUUUUUUCAUAUUAGCAUCUUCAAUAUUUAUUAACCAAAUUCAAUAAUCUACUGCAACUUCCGCAUAUUAAUUCUAACACAUAUGAACUGUUGAGUAAUUUGUAUCGGGUAUUUUCUAGAUAAUUUUUGUAUUUAUUUUAAUCAGAAAACCUGAAUUUAGAACUAUCAUUUUUCUGGGUUUGUGUUUUCUGAUUUGUUGAAUCUUUUGGAGUAAGGUUUUGCCAUUGUUGUUAUUAGUAGGUACAAAUAAUGCCUUAGUUGAUAGCAUAAGGGUAGUAUUGUAAAUGUGUUGCUCUAGGGUCUUGUUACUCUUGUAUAUAUAUGCUUAUCAUUAAUGAAUGAAGGCUCUCAAGGAUCAUAUCUUACAGCGAUCCUAUUCUUCUUCAUCUUCUUCUUCUGAUUGUCCUUCUCUGUAUCUUUUUUUGUUGCCAUGACCAACAAGAAAGAAAGUCUUCAUCCUUCCUUAACUGUAACUAAUAUCAAGAAUCACAUUCCCAUACAAUUAGAGUUGGAAACGGGCUUGUAUUCUACAUGGUCUCAAUUGUUCAAGACCCACUGCAAGGCCUAUCGAGUCUUGGACCAUAUCAUUCCAUCUUCCAUUGAUGCUGCUGGUUCUUUAACCCCGUUGAUGGAGGAUAAGGAGGAAUGGGAAUACGUCGACGCUCAUGUCCUUACGUGGCUUUAUGGGUCUAUAUCUCGGACUCUUCUUUCCAUCAUCUCUAAAGCCGACACUGCUCAAAAGGCGUGGGAUGCACUCCAAGACUUAUUCCAAGAUAAAAAGAAAACUAGGGCUGUUUACUUGGAAGAUCAAUUCACCCAUGUGGAACUAUCCCAAUUUGCAGAUGUCAAUGCAUAUUGCCUCCAUUUGAAGAGUUUGGCUGAUCAAUUGGAUAAUGUUGGUGCCCCCGUAUCGGGCCAACGUUUAGUGCUACAACUCAUCAAGGGCCUAUCUACAACAUAUGAUGAGAUGGUUACUGUAUUGGAACAACAAGACCCUCUUCCAACGUUCCAUCAAGCUCGGUUGAAAUUGAUCCUCCAUGAGAAGAGGCGCAAUCAUCAAGCAGCGUGUGAGUCUUCUGUAGAUGCCACUGCUGCUGCUCAACAUUCGAAUGAUGAACCUGAGUUCUCUCUUUCUCCCAAGUCUGAUGGCAACACUAAGGCUGGUUUCUCUAGGGGUAACAAUCGAAAAUACCAAGGCUUGCCGCCUAAGGUUUUUGUGGGUCAUUCAAUAUAUAAAGGGAAAGCUGCUCUAACAGUGGAGCCGAGGGCUCCGGAAUUCACACCAUUGGAGUCAGGUGCAUUUAAACUUUCAUGGGAGGGAUGCAUAAUACUUCAGUUUGCACCUGCUGCUGGUGUUCGUCGAUGGGAUUGGAGUCGAAAACAGGUGUUUUCUCUUUCAGUGUCUGAAAUUGGGACUCUGGUGAGCCUUGGAUCAAAGGAGUCAUGUGAAUUUAUUCAUGAUCCGAACAAAGGAAAUAGGUACUUGGUAAAUUUUUUUAAUUUGCUUGUUAAUAUACUCCUGUGUAAAUUUUCAUGAUAUACUCUUGUGAAUUUUUUCAUGAUCCUUGCACAUCCAUUAUGAAUUCUUGGGUUGCUCUCAUGGUUGGGCCCAUAGUUUAAAAAUAUGGUAAGUAACAGAACUUUGAUGCAGUAACGAGUGAUGUGAUUGUAUCGUCUAAAUAUCAGUUGAAUUAGAAGAUUUCUCUUGAUAAGGUCCAAAACACAGUUGUUUUUUACACCAUUACAAUGUGGGAAGAUCGGUUCGUUUGUUUUGAAAACCUUUACAACAUAGUCGAUGCGAUGCGCUGCGGCCUUGUUUCUACACUAUGGUAGGGCCCGGACACUGGAGUUUGGAGGCGAUUGCUAUGGCUUCUUGACCAUUUACCCCGUUGCUUCUUUAUUUUCAUUUGUCUUUCAACUGUUUCUCAGUUUGCUGAGCCAGGUAGAAGAAAUGUUGCGUUGCUGAUGCCUUCAUAUCUAGGAAUCUUAUCAUAGCUGUUUCAAACAGUUAAUGUUUGCUCUACAAGUCAAGCAGAAGUCUGUAAUAUUAUUGUAACUGUGAUGAAGGCAAAGUAAGGAAGGUAUUAAAAGUGGAGUCCCUUCCAGAUG